GAGCAGGCGCGCAAUUACCCAAUCCUGACUCAGGGAGGUAGUGACAAGAAAUAACAAUAAACCGGCUUAUGCCGGUUUAAUUGGAAUGAGUACAAUUUAAACAUCUUAACGAGGAACAAUUGGAGGGCAAGUCUGGUGCCAGCAGCCGCGGUAAUUCCAGCUCCAAUAGCGUAUACUAAAGUUGUUGCAGUUAAAAAGCUCGUAGUUGGAUUUCUGUGGGGACGGAGCGGCCGGCCGCACAUCGCGGUUCGAGCUAGCGCUUUCCCUACAUCCUGCCGCGAACCGUGCUACCAUUAGUUUGGUGGCGCCGGGGAUCGGCUCGAUUACUUUGAGAAAAAUAGAGUGUUCAAAGCAGGCCACAUGCCUUGAAUAAGUUAGCAUGGAAUAAUAACUAAGGACUUCGGUUCUAUUUUGUUGGUGUUCGGGACUGAAGUAAUGAUUGAUAGGGACAGUUGGGGCGGUCUGUAUUCCAAAGCGAGAGGUGAAAUUCUUAGACCUUCGGAAGACAAACAGCUGCGAAAGCGUUCCGCAAGGAUGUUCCCUUUGAUCAAGAACGAAAGUUGGGGGAUCGAAGACGAUCAGAUACCGUCGUAGUCUCAACUAUAAACUAUACCAGCUAGGGAUCGGCCAACGUUAUUUUAUACCGACUUGGUCGGCACCUUAUGAGAAAUCAAAGCAUCUGGGUUCCGGGGGGAGUAUGGUCGCAAGGCUGAAACUUAAAGGAAUUGACGGAAGGGCACCACCAGCCGUGGAGCCUGUGGCUUAACUUGACUCAACACGGGAAAACUUACCAGGUCCAGACAUAGUAAGGAUUGACAGAUUGAUAGCUCUUUCUUGAUUCUGUGGGUGGUGGUGCAUGGCCGUUCUUAGUUGGUGGAGUGAUUUGUCUGGUUAAUUCCGUUAACGAACGAGACCCCAGCCUGCUAAAUAGCGCGCGUGAGCUUUGCUCGCGGCGAGCUUCUUAGAGGGACUAUGAUGCGCGAUAGCACAUGGAAGUUUGGGGCAAUAACAGGUCUGUGAUGCCCUUAGAUGUUCUGGGCCGCACACGGGCUACACUGGCGCCUGCAACGAGCAUAUCAGCUGGCCCGAGAGGGUCUUGGCUAAUCUUUUGAACCGGCGCCGUGCUUGGGAUUGACCUUUGCAAUUGUUGGUCAUGCAACGAGGAAUGCCUUGUAAACGCGAGUCAUCAGCUCGCAUUGAAUACGUCCCUGCCCUUUGUACACACCGCCCGUCGCUCCUACCGAUGAAUGUUCCGAUGAAAUUUUCGGAGAGCACCUGUGAACUUGGCUCUGCCUUGCGAACGGGAGGCUCAAAGUCACCUAAAUCUGAACCUUUAG
Molecule: ribosomal RNA, 1337 nt
Filed under: uncultured marine eukaryote
Lineage: Eukaryota
Description: SSU rRNA
Rfam family: Eukaryotic small subunit ribosomal RNA
Source: RNAcentral